AGAGUUUGAUCAUGGCUCAGGACGAACGCUGGCGGCGUGCCUAAUACAUGCAAGUAGAACGCUGACUACUUUAGCUUGCUAGAGUAGAAGGAGUUGCGAACGGGUGAGUAACGCGUAGGUAACCUGCCUACUAGCGGGGGAUAACUAUUGGAAACGAUAGCUAAUACCGCAUAACAGUGUUUAACACAUGUUAGAUGCUUGAAAGAUGCAAAUGCAUCACUAGUAGAUGGACCUGCGUUGUAUUAGCUAGUUGGUGGGGUAACGGCCUACCAAGGCGACGAUACAUAGCCGACCUGAGAGGGUGAUCGGCCACACUGGGACUGAGACACGGCCCAGACUCCUACGGGAGGCAGCAGUAGGGAAUCUUCGGCAAUGGGGGCAACCCUGACCGAGCAACGCCGCGUGAGUGAAGAAGGUUUUCGGAUCGUAAAGCUCUGUUGUAAGAGAAGAACGUGUGUGAGAGUGGAAAGUUCACACAGUGACGGUAACUUACCAGAAAGGGACGGCUAACUACGUGCCAGCAGCCGCGGUAAUACGUAGGUCCCGAGCGUUGUCCGGAUUUAUUGGGCGUAAAGCGAGCGCAGGCGGUUUAAUAAGUCUGAAAUUAAAGGCAGUGGCUUAACCAUUGUUCGCUUUGGAAACUGUUAAACUUGAGUGCAGAAGGGGAGAGUGGAAUCCCAUGUGUAGCGGUGAAAUGCGUAGAUAUAUGGAGGAACACCGGUGGCGAAAGCGGCUCUCUGGUCUGUAACUGACGCUGAGGCUCGAAAGCGUGGGGAGCAAACAGGAUUAGAUACCCUGGUAGUCCACGCCGUAAACGAUGAGUGCUAGGUGUUAGGCCCUUUCCGGGGCUUAGUGCCGCAGCU
RNAcentral lists this ribosomal RNA (863 nucleotides) under uncultured bacterium. RNAcentral's name for it is "bacterial SSU rRNA". It matches the Rfam family "Bacterial small subunit ribosomal RNA", at positions 8 to 853 of the family's 1533-position model. The record is from RNAcentral.